Molecule: non-coding RNA, 252 nt
Organism: Pelobates cultripes (western spadefoot toad)
Lineage: Eukaryota; Metazoa; Chordata; Amphibia; Anura; Pelobatidae
Source: the annotation of a GenBank genome assembly
CGACUACUGUAAAAACAUUACAGGACAACAGAUCCCAUCAAUCACCCAGCAGACAAGAACACACACUGCUUUCUGUUGCAACUGCAUUCAUAUAAUAACCGAACAGUAGAAAUUUACGGCACUAGAUACUCAAUGUCUCUACCUAUUUACCUAGUAUGCUGUUUGAACAUAAAAGAGGCUGAAUGUUAAAAGAACACUCCAAGGACCAUAACCACUAUAAUGCUCAGUAGUGGUUAUAGUGCCAGAAGUGCC